AGAUCUUGGCAAUAAUUUUGGAGGAGUGUUUCAAUAAUGCUUGCUCUUAUUUACAAGCAUAGCUUAGCACUUCAAACAUUUUAAAACAGAUUUAGAAAUUUAAUGUAUUUAUUUUUUAAGUACUUUGGUUUUUCUGACCACAAGCAAAAUCAUCCCAAAUUUUAAACUCUUAUAGAAGUGAAUAAAUUUAACUUAAAAGAUAAAUCUAGGUGCUCUUAAAUGUUUUUAUACUCUACUUAAACUUAGAUGUCACCAUUAAAAAAAUCACAAGUCUAAAUUAAUUCUCAAUUAUACAUUUUAAAGUGGAGUUGUAAUAUUUCUACCCUUAAAUCUAAACCUUCCUGAAGUGUUGGUGAGAUAUUGUCUCUCAGUUUCGAGCCUUUUCCUUUUUUUGUGAUGCUGUGGCUGGGAUUCUGCAAACCACAUUGCUGCUUUGUCAGCUGGGUCCCUGGUAGGUUCUGCCAAUGGAGGGCGCUAGAGGGAGCCUGGGGGACUGGUGGAGGGAGAGGAGUUGGGCUCAUCCUGUCUUUGUCCACAUCACCUAGCAUAGACAGCUGGGUCCAGCAGCAGUGUUGAGUUACUGUUUGCAGUUUAUCCACAUUCCCAGAACCAGCCUCAACAUCUCCCCUUAGAGAUACAAGCACUGUCCAGCCUGGGACCCCUCCUCAGAAUUCUGAAGCCCUCUGGGGCCCCUCCUCUAACUUUUUAAAUUUCAAUAACCCCUAA
This 726-nucleotide long non-coding RNA is filed under the name Homo sapiens (human). Its description in RNAcentral is "HSALNT0174167". Lineage: Eukaryota; Metazoa; Chordata; Mammalia; Primates; Hominidae. The record is from RNAcentral.